GAUGAACGCUGGCGGCGUGCCUAAUACAUGCAAGUCGAGCGAACAGACGAGGAGCUUACUCCUCUGACGUUAGCGGCGGACGGGUGAGUAACACGUGGAUAACCUACCUAUAAGACUGGGAUAACUUCGGGAAACCGGAGCUAAUACCGGAUAACAUGUUGAACCGCAUGGUUCAACAGUGAAAGACGGUCUUGCUGUCACUUAUAGAUGGAUCCGCGUCGCAUUAGCUAGUUGGUAAGGUAACGGCUUACCAAGGCAACGAUGCGUAGCCGACCUGAGAGGGUGAUCGGCCACACUGGAACUGAGACACGGUCCAGACUCCUACGGGAGGCAGCAGUAGGGAAUCUUCCGCAAUGGGCGAAAGCCUGACGGAGCAACGCCGCGUGAGUGAAGAAGGUCUUCGGAUCGUAAAACUCUGUUAUUAGGGAAGAACAAAUGUGUAAGUAACUAUGUACGUCUUGACGGUACCUAAUCAGAAAGCCACGGCUAACUACGUG
RNAcentral lists this ribosomal RNA (497 nucleotides) under uncultured bacterium. Its description in RNAcentral is "partial 16S ribosomal RNA". It matches the Rfam family "Bacterial small subunit ribosomal RNA", at positions 28 to 507 of the family's 1533-position model. The record is from RNAcentral.